Transfer RNA from Neofusicoccum parvum, 89 nucleotides. It matches the Rfam family "tRNA". From Rfam's summary of the family: Transfer RNA (tRNA) molecules are approximately 80 nucleotides in length. Their secondary structure includes four short double-helical elements and three loops (D, anti-codon, and T loops). Further hydrogen bonds mediate the characteristic L-shaped molecular structure. tRNAs have two regions of fundamental functional importance: the anti-codon, which is responsible for specific mRNA codon recognition, and the 3' end, to which the tRNAs corresponding amino acid is attached (by aminoacyl-tRNA synthetases). tRNAs cope with the degeneracy of the genetic code in two manners: having more than one tRNA (with a specific anti-codon) for a particular amino acid; and 'wobble' base-pairing, i.e. permitting non-standard base-pairing at the 3rd anti-codon position. NCBI's taxonomy places the organism in Eukaryota, Fungi, Ascomycota, Dothideomycetes, Botryosphaeriales, Botryosphaeriaceae. The record is from Rfam.
GCCUCUAUGGCGCAGUGGUAACGCGUCGCACUUGUAUUUCCCAACAAUAUGCAAUGCGAAGAUCCUGGGUUCAACUCCCAGUGGAGGCA